UAUUGGCAUGCCUGGUGGACCAGGUGGCAGGGGCGGCGUGCUUUUGGUGAAUUUGUUAGCCCACCAUGCAUAACAGAAAGUGGCUAGUGCGGCUGCCAAAACAAUUGCUGCCGCUCUGAUGAUGUUAUACGUAGCGAGUCCCUCGCAGGCAAGAACUGCGACCUCAUCAUAGAAGUCCGGCAUCAUUAAGGUAUAUGUCCGAAGAUAGAAAGCAGAAGAAAUGGACUUAUGUAUAGCUCUACUGAACAUGUUUUUCCCCAGGCUUUGCAAGGAAACUGUUAUUCAAUCUAGAAGAAAAGUCAGAUUAUAACUUUCUUACAUGUCUCUUUCACAUUGUGGACAUCUUUUCCUCAAAAACAUCAUUGCAACAGUGUGCUGAUUGUAGAUUAUUGACUUGUUUCUUCAAACCUUCAUCGAAACAACUAAAGCUUUAAUUACAUGAGAUAACUUUUCUCUUUCUGAGCCCUACUACGUGACGAGAUACUUAUAGGUAACACAUAUUUGGGUCUUUUAGAUGCUAAUCUGAAUCCAAGUUACAACCCUGAUGAGAUUUUAAUCGUCUUCUACGACUUCUGAGAUUAAGGUACAUUCUGCAACACAUGAUACUAAUGGCAAUCGAUGAUAGUAACGCAAGAGUCGUUGAUGAUGAUUGACGAGACAUUCACUCAUGAAAAAAAUAUUUACACGUCAUCAUAACCAAAAUUUCCAAUAGCCAGAAUCACAUUUUUCAACAAGUUUAUCUUUUAUGGUCACUUACAAGUCAAGUACAGGCAAAUCUUUCUUACACUCAAUCAUGCAUAACGUGCAGGAAGAGAUAAGAGCGAUUGACCCUUAUUUUUCAUCAUCAAUGAUGUCACCUGAAGUGCAAUUAAAAUUGUUUGACACCAUCGCAUACAGUGUGCUAUAUGCAUACACCGAUAUUGUAUAAAAAAAAGCAAAAACAAUUAUUAAAAAUGAAAUGUUAUUUACGUAAAAUAAUUAAAAUAAAUAAAUAUUAUUUUAAACAAAACAACUAAGAGAAGUGAAAAAUUACUUCAUACAGAUAAUAAUUAAAAUAAUUUAAAAUAAGUAAUAAAGUUCACGAAUUAUUUUUAUUUUGAAAUGUUCUAAAAAAUUUAACUUGUUAGUUUAAAUAUAAAAAUAAUUAAAAGGUUUCUUUUUUAAUAUUUUUUUAAAAUACAAAUAUUUUUUUAAAAUACAAAUAUUUUUUAUUUUACUUUUUUAUCGUUUACCUAUUCACGUACACUUUAUUUUUUUUACCUAUUCACAUAUAAUUUUUUCUCUUACUUAUUUUCAUAUAGCUUGUUCUAUAUAUUUUUUUCAUUUACCUUUUACUCAAUAAUAAAUCUUAUUAUAUUAUUAAUAAUUAUAAAAUCUAUUAUUUCAAUAAUCACAUAAUGAGUUUUUAAUCAUUAUUCAACAUUAAAGCUCAAUAAUAAACGGUCACUUAAUAUUAAAGUCCUUAAUGAUAUUAUUCAUUAUGUGUAUUAAAACUUAUUCAUGAAUAACUACCGUUUUUUACAUUAUAUAUAUAGUCUUUAUAAUUCAUUUGGGACUUCUAUCCAAAACUUAAACAUUCUCGUUCAGAGCUUUUCUCUCUAAAUUCUUUUUCUAGCACUCUUCUAUUCAAUGUUUCUCAGUUUUACUCAAUCACUCGCUAAUUUUCAACCUAUUCUCAAUCGUUAAUGUAUUUUUCAUUUUUUCUCUUUCACUUAUCACAAUAUUCAGUACUCCAAAAACUAUUUCAAUAUUUUUCUUGACUGUUUUCGAUAAUUUUUUUAUUCGUUUGCAACUUUCCUCUUUUUAUCACAACCACCCUAUAGUCUAUCACUUAUUUCAACAGCUAUUAAGUACAUUGUCUUUAAAAUAAAAAUAAACACAAAAAAUCUCAACAAAACAUGUCACAUAUGGUACAAACAAAAGCAAUGGACAUAAGGCAGAAACUAACUCAGCAGAAAGAUAUGAGACUUAGGCUAAAAAAACUAAUACAGCAGCUGAUAUUUAAGUCUACCAGCAGACUCAUCCACAGACUUCAACAAUAACUGUAAUCUAGCAACAGAGAACAAAGUUUGGUACUUCUGUCCUUCUCGUAUGCACCUUUUAGGCGUCAUGCUUGCAUGCGGAGUAAUAGAUAAAACAUGGGGAAUUUAAGUCAUUAUUUAUUACUUAAAGAUGCCAUGUGGUAGGGGCGCUUGCCAUCUUUUAUGGAAAAAAACGCAAGACAAAGGGUCUUACAUACACGUUCAUAUAAGACACAUAUGUUACUGGUACUGCUCCGAAUUCGAAAGUCGUGCAGCCGGUACAGCAACAAGAGGUUCCACUUUCUUCAAAGUUAUUCCAAAAUUUUCCUGUAUAUCAAGCUUAGUUCCUUCCGGUAAUUUCCAUUUGAAAGAAUGCACCAGGGCAGCUAAGACGUGUGGUAUCAUUCUUUCCGCCAUAGGAAUCCCUACACAAAUUCUCCUCCCUGACCCAAAUGGAGAAAAGUGGAAAUCGUUUCCUAGAUAAUAACCUUUCUCAGUGUCUUUCAAGAAUCUGUCAGGUUCAAAUUGAAGUGGAUCUUCCCAAAACUCAGGGUCUCUUUGUAUCGAACGUGCAUUAAUUAGAAUUCUGGAAUCUUUGGGAAUGGUGUAUCCAGCCAUAGUACAGGUCAUGCUGGGUUUGCGAGGCAAUAGCAACGGAGCAGGGGUAUGCAUUCUAAGUGUCUCCUUUACGACUGCUUCCAAAUAGAGCAGUCGAGAAAGAUGAGACUCUUCCACAAUGUUUUCGUUUCCAACCACUGUCUUCAAUUCCUCAAGGACUCUUCUCAUUUUAUCUGGAUGCCGCAGUAAUUCUGUCAUUGCCCACUCUAUUGUAGUAGAUGUUGUAUCCGAAGCACCGAGAAUCACAUCCUGCCCCCAAAUUAAAGGAUGGAGAAUUUUGUAAAAUUUCAAACCAUUUAAGAUGUAAUAUCAAAUAUCAAAACUAACUCUCUACUCCAACAAAAGCAUCAAACCAAAAGGAAAAUUUGAUUAAUAUCAAGAACAAUUCAAAAGUCUACAGAUCAAGUGACAUCCUCAAUACUACAUAUUUACAAAUUUGUUAACGUACAUGCAACUCAAUCUUGCAUUGGAUCCAUAUCAUAAACCUGUAUGUCUAGCAUAUUUAAUACACAAAAGAACAAUGAAAAUCAGAAACGUAACCAAACAAAACAUACACCACGAAACGAGAGGAAAAGUGUGGUGGUUUGUUCACUCUCCUUAUCACCCUAAAAGAGAAAAAAAAAUCCCCUUCGGACAUCGGUUACCAUAUCUCAUCAGAUGAUAGAUAGUUGAAAACAAUAAAGUAUUCAUAGAAUGGGAUUUGGGAGUAUAAUUAGAGUAUCAUUAAUAUAAUCAAUCGUUUUAAAAAAGAAAAGUCUUCACGGAGUAAAUAAUGAGAGUGUACCUAUAAAAAAAAUGUAUGGGGGAAUACAUAAUGCAAGGAAUACUGCCAAGGAACUAGCAGGAGGCAUUGAAAAGAAAGUGAGAGCAGACUCGAGUUUGUUAUCAGAAGUUUUGGCCUAUAAAGAAGGAUUGAAGUUGGUAAAAGAUUUAGAAUUUAAAAAUGUAACGUUAAAGACAGAUUCAGAAGUUUUUUAAAAGGAAUUAAGGCAUAAUGGAGAGGGAGCUCGUUGGGAGGUGUAGCCCUUUCUUGAAGACAUCCAAAGCUCAGUUGUGUCAAUAAAAAGGCUAAUUUGACGGCUGAUUGGGGUGCAACCCAAUCAAGAAAGAAAGGGGGUGAGCAUUGCAAAUUGAGUUUUAUUACAGCCAUCCUCUCUAGUCUUCAUCAUCAGUCGAGAUGGUCUAACAGCUCCCCCUUGAUUUUGUUUCAUUUUGCCUUUAGGAGUUGAGUUGCAAUAUCCUGCUCUCUAUGUAUGAAUAUUUUUUGUUACCCCUUCUAAGAAAACGAAAAAAGAAAGAAAGGAGGGCAGAUUUAAUUGAUUUUUGUUUUAUAAUCCAAACCUUGGUAGAGGAAAUUAUCGUAGAGAGGGGGAAAAUGGAAUAUCAAAAGUUCAUUGACAUACCAGCAGUAAAGCCUUCACUUCGUUCAUGGAUAGUGAGGUCUUACCACCUCCACGUUGGUUCAGUUCCAACAACAGCUGCAGAAAAUCCUUGCUUUCUUCCUUUUUCUUUCCCUCUCCAUCGGCCUGUUCAACCUUUGUACGGUGUACUAUCACAGAUUCAAAAACCUCAUAAAACCACAACAAAUUCUUCUUCGCCUUGGAUUGAAAACCUUGUGAAUCAAAUGCGGUAAGCACAGGAAAAACAUCUGAAACAUUAGGUGCUCCUACCAAUUCUACAAAUUCCACCGAUCGUCUCCCAAACUCAAUCCCAAGCCUGCUUCUAUCCUCUCCAUUCAAUGAAUCACCCCACAGCAUGCUUAUCACAACAUUUAGAGUGGUUAGGAACAUUUGUUCACCGAUGUUAACGGGUGAGCCGACCUUUCCGUAAAUAUCCUUCACCAUUUGUCGAAUCUCUCGUCGACGAAGCGUGUAGCAAGCAUCAAGGCUUCUUUUGCUCAUAAUUUCACGGACAACAAGCUUACGCAGCUUGUGCAAUUCGGGACCAUUAGGUCUCCACACCAUACAUGCCGACUACUGCAGGUGCUUCGCGGUUAGCGAAGAUAGCAUCAUGGUCUUUGAGGACCUCUUCGGCAACUGAAGGUGAACUUAUUACCACGCAGAUCUUGCUUCCGAGCUGGAGUUUGAUAAUGGGGCCAUAGAUUUGAGAGAGUUUGACAACGUAUUGAUAAAAAUCAGGUUGGAUGAAGGGAAGGUUUCCUAGUAUAGGCAAGCCCGAUGGAAGAGGUGGCAGGGGCGGAUUGCUUUUGGUGAAUUUGUUAGCCCACCGUGCAUAACAGAAAGUGGCCAGUGCGCCUGCCAAAAUAAUUUCUGCCGCUCUGAUGAUGUUAUACGCAGCGAGUCCACGGCAGCACCAUGACCAACCCUCGCAGGCAAGAACUGCAACCAUAUCAUAGAAGCCCGACAUCAUUAAGUUGUAUGUCCGA
RNAcentral lists this long non-coding RNA (5025 nucleotides) under Theobroma cacao (cacao). RNAcentral describes it as "long non-coding RNA (TCAC_LNC002107)". Lineage: Eukaryota; Viridiplantae; Streptophyta; Magnoliopsida; Malvales; Malvaceae. The record is from RNAcentral.